RNAcentral lists this ribosomal RNA (497 nucleotides) under uncultured bacterium. RNAcentral's name for it is "partial 16S ribosomal RNA". It matches the Rfam family "Bacterial small subunit ribosomal RNA", at positions 28 to 507 of the family's 1533-position model. The record is from RNAcentral.
GAUGAACGCUGGCGGCGUGCCUAAUACAUGCAAGUCGAGCGAACGGACGAGAAGCUUGCUUCUCUGAUGUUAGCGGCGGACGGGUGAGUAACACGUGGAUAACCUACCUAUAAGACUGGGAUAACUUCGGGAAACCGGAGCUAAUACCGGAUAAUAUUUUGAACCGCAUGGUUCAAAAGUGAAAGACGGUCUUGCUGUCACUUAUAGAUGGAUCCGCGCUGCAUUAGCUAGUUGGUAAGGUAACGGCUUACCAAGGCAACGAUGCAUAGCCGACCUGAGAGGGGGAACGGCCAAAAUGGAACUGAGAAACGGUCCAGACUCCUAAGGGAGGCAGCAGUAGGGAAUCUUGCGCAAAGGGCGAAAGCCUGAAGGAGCAAAGCCGCGUGAGUGAUGAAGGUCUUCGGAUCGUAAAACUCUGUUAUUAGGGAAGAACAUAUGUGUAAGUAACUGUGCACAUCUUGACGGUACCUAAUCAGAAAGCCACGGCUAACUACGUG